ACCACAUUUCUUGAAAAGAGAGUUUGUCAAGUCAUCCUUUAUUGCAGGAAAACCAGCAGCGGCUCCUUUAAGCCACUCACAGGCAGCACGUCUAUCAGGUGUAGUAGGUACUGAUGAUACCAGUGCACGGACGCCAUUACAACAUUCAGUUGGAGGUGCAUCACCACCUUGACCAAUGAUGUAAUUUAAGCAUGGAGCUAUUUGAUUUGUUGCAUCAUUACAACUAAAGGUUUGUCCUGGCUCCACUAUCAUGAGCAUUAUAGCUACCAAAGCUAGAAAUCCUACAAAUACAUUCUUCAUCUUAUAUGCUUAAUGAAUUUCUUUGUCUAUUAAUGAAAGAUAUGUGAGGAUACUGAAAGUUGUGCUCCCAUAUAUAGUUGCAGAUAUAAGAUAUAAUGAGUAUUGGUGAUUUAAAAAUAAAGUAAUUCAUUAGUUUUUGUAUAUUUUAAUAUAAUGUAUUAUUAAUUAUUUUACAGUAUUAUUUAUUAAAAAUAAUAUUAUAAUAUUAUUUUACAUAUUUAAUAUAUUAUUUUAUCAAAUGAUUACUAUUUUAUAUUUAUCUAUUAAAACGAACAAUACAGUAGCUUUAAAGUUGUGGAUCCCAUAAGACAAGACAAGCAAACACAAAGGGAACACCAAUUAAUAUAAAAACUUAAAUUCUCUUAUAUAUGUAACAAAUAACAUAUAAUCUACCAAUUCGUAAUUCGAUUUCAUCAAAUAGCAUCAACACGUAGAAAAGUAUAGGGGGCUAAAGGAAAGAAGUCUCAAUCUAAAUGUUUUGACAAUUAUUUUACACUCAUUAAUUAUUUAUUAAUGUUGUUUUCAUUUAUAUUCCAAAGAUUUAUAAUUGUGUGGUACCUAAGAAUCAAGUCUUAGGUUAAGACUCUCUUAAGACGAAGGAUGUGAAUUCCUAAAAAAAGGUAAUAAGUAUGACACAUAAAAAAUAUCAGCAGCUUUUAUGUGCUCAGUCAUAUGGCUUGCUUCAAUUUUCCAAUGAAUCCUAGGAUGAGCACAAUCGAACACAUGUAGAUGUGUGUCGCUCACUAAAAGUGAACUAAUUACACUCAUUCAGACCUGCAUGGAUUUGUGAGUGACAUUUCACGUCAGUACAACAACUCAGUUAUAGGGAUAUAUAUAUAUAUAUGCAUCAUUUUUUAUAUGCUACUUCUAUUCAAUUUAAUAUAUUGAAAUAUAAAUAAUAAUAAAAAUAAGUUUCUAAUUCAAUAAUAAGUAACCACUUCAAAAAUAAAACAAAUAUGAACAUAUUCUUAAUGAUCAUGUUACCUAAUUUGGGAGUAAAAAAGUAUUGUUCUUGUUUUGACCCAAAAAGAUGUAAUGUUGAUUCCAAAUUAUUUGGUAGAAAUCUAAAUUAUAGUAUACCAUUCCUCAAGCCAUAUAAUCAAUUAUUCAUCCUAAAUCGGGCCACCAAAGACUUAUGUUAAUAAGAAAGUCAUAUAGCAUCAUUUAUUAUUUAUUGGUGCUUUAAUUAUUUAGGUUUUGUAUAUUUUAAUAUAAUAUAAUAUAAUAAUAUUAUUUAUUAAAAAUAACAUUAUAAUAUUAUUUUACAUCUUUAAUAUAUUCUUUUAUUCAAAUGAUUAUGUUUGUUGAAUUUAUCUAUAAAAAGGAACAAUACAAUAGUUUUAAAAUUCUGGAUCCCAAAAGACAGGACGAGUAAACACAAAGGAAACAUAAAUUAGUAUAAAAAAUUUAAAUGCUCUUACGGAUAUAAAAAAUGACAUAUAAUUUAUCCUAGUUGUUCACCAAAAGUAUCAAAUAGCACAAUCAUGUAGAGAAGUAUAUAUGGGGCUAAAAUAAAGUGUCAAGGAUAGCACUAGUAAUACUUUGCCUAUAUUUUGAUGAAGACAAGGUUCUAUUAAAGCUUGAAGAUGGCUCAACAAUCAACAUGUCUAGAGCUUAUUGGUCAUAUCUANGUGUGUCAUUUUUGAUACGCCACUUCUAUUCAAUUUAAUAUAUCGAAAUAUAAAUAAUAAUAAUAACAAUAACUUUCUAAUUCAAAUAUAUGUAACCAUUUCAAAAAUAAAAGAAAUAUGAACAUGUUCUUAAUAAUCAUGUUACCUAAUUUGGGAGUAAAAAAGUGUUUUUCAUGUUUUGACCCAAAAAGACGUAAUAUUAUUUCCAAAUUAUUUAGUAGAGAUUUAAAUUACAAUAUACCACUCUCCAAGCCAUGUAAUACAUUAUACAUCCAAAAUCGGGUCGCAAAAUACUUAUGUUAAUAAGAAUGUCAUAUAGCAUCAUUUUUAUUUAAUGGUUCUUUAAUGAUUUAGGUUUUAUAUAUUUUAAUACUAUAUAAUAUAAUAAUAUUAUUUAUUAAAAAUAACAUUAUAAUAUUCUUUUGCAUAUUUAAUAUAUUAUUUUAUUUUAUGAUUAUUUUUGUUGUAUUUAUCUAUAAAAAGGAACAAUACAAUAGUUUUAAAGUUGUGGAUCCCAUAAGACAUGACGAGCAAACACAAAUUAAUAUAUAAAAAAUUAAAUACUCUUAAGGAUAUAACAAAUAACAUAUAAUCUAUUCAAGUUGUUCUCCGAAAGCAUCAAAUAGCAUCAGCAUGUAGAGAAGUAUAUAAAUGGCUAAAACAAAGAAGAUUCAAUCUAAAUAUUUUAACAAUUAUUUUACACUUAUUAAUUAUUUACUGAUAUUGUUUUCAUCUAUAUUCCAAAAAUUUAUAACCAUGUGGUACCUAAGACUCAACUUUUAAGUUUAACAGGAAGGAUGGUGAAUUCCGAAAAAAAGUUAAUAAGUAUAAGAUAUAAAAAAUAUCAUUAUUGUUUUCUCUAAGUUUCCUUUUAUAUUUUAUACCGUAAGAACUUCUAGAAAUAUCUUGAAAAUGUAUUCUUUUUUAUUAAAAUAUAAUUAUUUUACAAUCAACAAUUUUUUACUAUCAUAUAAAAAAUUUCAUAAUCAAUGUUUAGACAAAUAUUCAAAGAUUGUAGUGAGGUUAAUUUUUUUUUUAAACCAAAAGUGCUAACACAACCAAUAUAUAAUGAAAGCUAACCAAAGUUGAAGGAGAAGCCACAAAGUUGCAAAUUACGGAACCUAUAGUUAGGAAGUAAAUUCCUAUUUCUAUUGAAUUCCUCGUAUAAGAAGCUAGAUAUGCUAUUACACCAAGAAUCAGUUCUAAAAUUAACUCUAAAUGUGGAUAGCUUAUCCACACAAGCAUUGCCUUCUUUAAAAAUAUGGCUAACCAUAAUUUGCAUAGGAUCCAUAACCUCUCUGCAUUUGUUUAUGAAGCUACUUAAUUUAUAUCCAAAUGCUAACAAUAAUUUCUCCAUAAUUUAGUUUUGCAUUUAUUCACUAAUUUUUGUGGUGAUUUGGAACAGUUGUAAUUUUGAAGUCUGUGUUUAAGGGAUGGUACAAAAGAAUUGUAUUAAAUAUUUUAUGUUUGGCAGCGUUUUUCAAUCGUCACUAAAGUGUUACUUAAAUUACUUAAUGUUUUAUAUUGCAGUCAUCAGUUACUUAAAUUCGUUUAGAUAAUGUUUUGUACUUGCACAUACUGCUUUUAUUAUUUUCUUUAACUACAGCAAAUUUUUAUUUUUGGAGUCAUUAAUGAUUGAUUUUUAUAUAGUUAACUUGAAUAAAGAUGGGACAUCUUAUUUUGUCAUGCUAUGGUAAGAUUGUUACUUCUGUAAGUGAAUUUAAAGUUUAACGGAUAAUGUAAUGGUCUGAUGGACAUUAAGAAGCUGUGUAAAUAAUAUUAUAAAAAUACUUGGAUAUAGGUUAUGUUUGGUAAAGCUCUAAGGAACUUAUAAGCCCGUCAACAAAAUUAUGUAAUUAGAAAUUAAGUUAAUUGAUUUUGCAGACUAAAAAGUUUUUAAAUUCACAAAAUACAUAUUUGAUAAGUCAGUUGGAGGUUACUUCAUAAUCCAUAUUUCAUAAGCCACUUGGAUGUGACUUAUGACUUAUAAAUCAGAACCUUAUUUUAAUUAACUUGUACUAUGUAAUUAUAAGUUAAUUUUACAAAAAUAAUAAUAUUGUUUUACCAAUUAGAUUAAAGUCUCAUAAUUUUUUGUGCCUAGCUUUUAAGUUCUCAACUGACUUAUAAGUUCUCAGCAGAAUAUUAAUUAUUUAUGAGAGAUAUAGUCAAACUUGUGUUGUUUUACAAUCUUUAAGUUUGGCACAAUUAUCGAUAGAGUUUAAUAAAUAUGUAUCAAUAAUGUAUAGUUUUAUUUACAUUAUUAACAAAUCAUCAAUCAUUUAUAUAUAAUACUUUUAUUAAAGAGUCAAUCAUUAUAAAUAUCUAUAAUCCUAGCACUUGAGGUGAUAACUGAAAAAAUGGAAGGUGUGUUAUUAACGAGUUUCUGUACAUAACAAAACACAAGUUGUGCGGAUCAGAUCUUAAUGCAUCACUUCAGCUUGAUACAUCAUAGCACUUGGCACUUAUUUUGUUUUAUGAUGUUUCCCUUUGUUUGUAGUUUAGUUAGUUAUUUACGUCCCUCACACAAAUGUUUACGCAACUACUUAUUAUACCAUUUGUUUUUAUUAUGGAACACAGAAUGAAAGCAUGUAGUACAUAUAGAUUUUCUUAUGCGAUAUAUUUUUUGUUCUUUUUAGUAUAUUAUAUACCCAAAUUAGUCACCCACUUUGAAUUUUAACAAGAUUUAGCUUAGUGAUGCAUUAUGUCAAUUAUAAAAUUCAACUUGAAUCUUUACACGUACAAUAAAUUUUGGUUAUGUUGUAACAAAUAUUUCACAGAUCUUUUGUUCAUGCUUUAUAUAUAUUAUUAUCCAAUCUUUCGUAGAUUAGCUACUUGGUUUUCCUCGUUAUUUACCCCCUCACACAAAUGCAUACACACCAACAUUAUACCAUUUGUUUUUAUUAUGGAUCACAAAAUGAAAUGAUGCCAUACAUAUACAAUUUACUUAUGAGAUAUACUAUUUCUUCUCUCGAUUCUAUAUAUGCGAAGUUGUUCAUCCAUCCCUAAUUUUAACAUGUAAUUUAAUUUAUUGGUGAAUGAGAAAAUGACGUAUGAUAUCAAUCAUAAAUUUCAAUUUGAAUCCUCCCUAACACAACCAAUUGUGGUUAUGUUGUGACAAAUAUCUUCAGAUAUCUUUUGUUCAUUAUUUGUAUUAAUAAAGAUUAUUGCAAGAUUAACAAAAUACAAACUAUGUAAAAAAUAAAUUAGAUAUCCAUUUAUUAUUACUACUAUCAUCAACUUUAACAACAUUGAAGUAAGGAUAUCUCAUUUAUUUAAUAAACUUAUUUCUUCAUUGCUUUGAGCUCAUGGGAUGCUGUACAAAAACAAACCAAAAAUAUCAGUAAGUACGGUAAUAAAAAAGUAACAAAGAUCUAUUAACUAUUUGGCUAAACAGAAAGGAUAAACAAUCAAAUUAGUCUAGUGUUACUUGUAACCCUUUUGAAGUUUUGUGUCAAUAAUUAAGUUCAUAAAGUUGUAAUAUAAAUUGAUGUAAUUAGUUGGAGUGUUAAGUCAUCAAAAUAACAACGUGAGAUAAUGGCUGACCCCGUGGUAGGAUCUCUAAUGCCAUUUAUUUUUCUCCUCGUAAUAUUUUAAGCCCCAUAUUUUUCAAUAUUUAAAUAUAGUAUAAAAUUAUGAAAUAAAAUAUAAAUAAUCGAAAACAUGUUUAUUUUUAAAUAAUAUUUUUCUUUAAUCUUGUGUUAUUUUGACUUUCAAAAUUCUUAUUGAUUUUUGAAUUAUAUAACAAAAAUGUUUUAGUUAACGAAAUGUUAUUUUAUGUUAAUAAAGAUUGAUUAACUUCAUAAAAGUUUAACUCAUAUCUCAAAAAAUUAUUAUACUUACACGACAUUAUUAUGUUUGGUGAAACUUGAGAUUUAACCCAUCACGACAUUAUUAUACUUACACGGAAUGAUAAUUUUUAAUUAAAUAUCUUCCUUUAGGCCACAAUUGUGAUGAACUUAUAAAUAUUUGAAGAAAUGAGAUAGCUUGUCAAAUUAAGGAUUUAUUCAUUAAUGAAAUAAGGAAGAAAAUAAAAAUGAGGGACUUUAUGUUUGUAGAAAUGUAGACUUACGUUUGACAGUUUAUGUCCUUAGAGAUGGAGAAUUCUACACUAACACCACAUUUCUUGAAAAGAGAGUUUGCCAAGUCAUCCUUUAUUGCAGGAAAACCAACAGCGGCUCCUUUAAGGCACUCACAGGCAGCACGUCUAUCAGGUGUAGUAGGUACUGAUGAUACCAGUGCACGGACGCCAUUACAACAUUCAGUUGGAGGUGCAUCACCACCUUGACCAAUGAUGUAAUUUAAGCAUGGAGCUAUUUGAUUUGUUGCAUCAUUACAACUAAAGGUUUGUCCUGGCUCCACUAUCAUGAGCAUUAUAGCUACCAAAGCUAGAAAUCCUACAAAUACAUUCUUCAUCUUAUAUGCUUAAUGAAUU
Molecule: long non-coding RNA, 6363 nt
Filed under: Lupinus angustifolius (narrow-leaved blue lupine)
Lineage: Eukaryota; Viridiplantae; Streptophyta; Magnoliopsida; Fabales; Fabaceae
Description: long non-coding RNA (LANG_LNC003525)
Source: RNAcentral